AUUGAACGCUGGCGGCAUGCCUUACACAUGCAAGUCGAACGGCAGCACGGGUGCUUGCACCUGGUGGCGAGUGGCGAACGGGUGAGUAAUACAUCGGAACGUACCUUAUCGUGGGGGAUAACGCAGCGAAAGUUGCGCUAAUACCGCAUACGCCCUGAGGGGGAAAGCGGGGGACCGUAAGGCCUCGCGCGAUUAGAGCGGCCGAUGUCUGACUAGCUUGUUGGUGAGGUAAAAGCUCACCAAGGCGAUGAUCAGUAGCUGGUCUGAGAGGACGACCGGCCAAAAGGGGACAGAGACCCGCCCCAGACUCGUACGGAGGCCAGCGGGGGGAAAUUUUGGACAAUGGGGGCAACCCUGACCAAGCAAGGCCGCGUGAGUGAAGAAGGCCUUCGGGUUGUAAAGCUCUUUUGUCAGGAAAGAAACAGCAGCUCUAACACAGUCUGCAAAUGACGGUACCUGAAGAAUAAGCACCGGCUAACUACGUGCCAGCCGCCGCAGUAA
RNAcentral lists this ribosomal RNA (501 nucleotides) under uncultured bacterium. Its description in RNAcentral is "partial 16S ribosomal RNA". It matches the Rfam family "Bacterial small subunit ribosomal RNA", at positions 29 to 523 of the family's 1533-position model. The record is from RNAcentral.